UAGACGGUAGUAUAACUAAUACUUUUCGCUUACACCGAAAAACUGGCACCCAACCCCUUCUAG
This 63-nucleotide transfer RNA is filed under the name Cumberlandia monodonta. Its description in RNAcentral is "tRNA-Val". The record is from RNAcentral. Lineage: Eukaryota; Metazoa; Mollusca; Bivalvia; Unionida; Margaritiferidae.